AAUAAUGCAUAAUGAUACAGGUCUGGAUCUUCAAGUUUCUCUUGACCUGGGAAAGGCUGUUGGGACCAAUUCAGAGAAUAGUAUUCAGUUGUCAGGCGCAAAGGAAGGCAAUGAAGGCCUUUAGGAAGUGUUUUGGCUGUUAACUGUGUUAGAAACAGGCCUUGUUUCUUGUGCACUCGUAACUGCUCUUCAGUUGAGUGAAGCAUAGCUCGUAGUUUCUUUACUACGGUAGAACAGUCAUCCUGAGCUUGUUUCCCUUUUGCCAAGGUUAGCUC
Molecule: long non-coding RNA, 275 nt
Filed under: Cucumis sativus (cucumber)
Lineage: Eukaryota; Viridiplantae; Streptophyta; Magnoliopsida; Cucurbitales; Cucurbitaceae
Description: long non-coding RNA (CSAT_LNC002532)
Source: RNAcentral